This is a non-coding RNA of Podarcis lilfordi (Lilford's wall lizard), 2776 nucleotides long. The record is from the annotation of a GenBank genome assembly. NCBI's taxonomy places the organism in Eukaryota, Metazoa, Chordata, Lepidosauria, Squamata, Lacertidae.
CGACCGGGAGGGCCUGUUUAUUCUUAGGCCGUGGUGGAAGGGGAAGCGGGCAAGCCUGCCCUCGGGCAUGUGCAGAGUGCAGCCUGCGUUCCACAUCGGUAUAUUUCGAGUACAGUAUCUUUACUAUUGCUUUUAUUAUUUUGAAAUCAAAACGUGCGGCUUUAAUCUUCCUGCUGUUAUGUGGUUUGUUCUCAUCCAUUAAUAAUAAUAAUAAUAAUAAUAAUAAUAAUAAUUUUUUAAAAAAAUAUUUAUACCCCGCCCUCCCCAGCCAAGGCCGGGCUCAGGGCGGCUAACAAGCAAUAAUAAAAACAAAUAAUAAUAAUAAUAAAUAAAAAUGUAUAAUAUAAUAAUAAUAAUAAUAAUAAUAAUAAGUAAAUAAUAAUAAUAAGUAAAUAAUUAUUAUAUUAUAUAUUAUUACUAUUUAACUAUUUUUAUUUAUUUAGAUUAAUAAUAUAUAUAAUUAAUAAUAAAAUGUAUAAUAUACUUAAUAAUAAUUUAAAUUAAAAAAUUAAUUAUUAUAUAUUAUUACUAGUCAACUUUAUUUAUUUAUUUAAAAUAAUAACAAUAUACACACAACUGACCCUAUACCUGGAAGUCUUAGGGUGGUGGUGGUUCACAGAACAAAAACAAAAUAUAAAACCACAAAAUAUAUAAUAAAAAUAAAAAUAAACCCAAUACCCCCCCCAAAAGCCACCACAUUUUCAAAGGGCAUAGGAUGUCAAUCAAAUCAACCAAAGUGAGGAUCAAGGGGCAGUUUACAGUAUAAAAACACAAAAUGUGUAACAUAAUAACAAACGAAACACAAGCACAUUCAAUGGGGGGAGGAUUGCUCCCCCAUUUAAUGCGCUUGUAUUGGUCCUUGUGCCAUUGAGCAUGUGCCAAGUGCAGCCUGUGUUACAUAUUGGUAUGUUUUGAAUGUUUUAAGAGUGUUCUUGGUUUCUUUGUUUUUUAACCUGUUGACUGUUCCUAACUUAAUCUGCCCGUUGUUAUUUGAUUUAUUGCACAUUAUGUGAUACUGUGUAUUGGUGCCACCUGCUCGUGCCAAAUCAUUCCUAGGCUGUGGUGAACAAGAGUACUGUUGAGCUAGUGCAGAAUGCACCUACACACAGAAAAAGAUUUUGAGUAUUUUAACCUGUUGAUUUUUCUGGUCUUAAUCUGUGGUGGGGAAAAGUCAAUAGUACUCUGUGUAGAGUGCACCAUACAGAUUUUAAGAGAGAGAUUUGGUGCGUGAAGCAAGCCAGUGGCUGGCCAGAUCUAUCCAGGAAGCCCACAAUUUGGGUGGGAAGGCCAUAAGAAAGAGAGCAAGCAGAUUUCUCAUAGCAGGGAGUUGCAAACAACAACAACAAAAUGGCGAACAAGACCACCGCAAUAUAUCUCAAUGAAUUCGGGCGGUACAUUCAGGAGACAGUAGUCCCUUAGGUAUGAGGAGCCUGACCUAUUUCGGCACGCAGGGAUUCAUGAUGGGAAUGCCUUAAGGGCUGUACGCCUUUAAAUUAUGUUGUCCUCCUCUGUUACAUAACUGUAGCGAAAACGCAGCAAUUUUGUUCCGUUUUGAUUGGAGCGGAGCCAUGGAAUUAAUGCUGGCUGAAGGUGCUUUUGUUCUCUUGCUACGUUUAGAGCAGCCUGUAACCAACAGUCUUUAAUUAUUGGAGAAUUAAGCUCAUGGUGUUGCCCUUGAUAGAAUUUUGUGGAGUCGAAAACAGCAAACCCGUAAAGGAAAAUAUUGCUCUUGGGACGGAUAGCGCUACACUCCUUUCUUCCCACGUGCGAGAAUUAAAAACGGAGCAAAUUAAAAACUAGAGUUAAGAAAAGCAGAACGCAAAUGAAGAAGAGGUGGUGGGGAACCGGGGAACAAAAUUUUGAUUUCCGCACUACUAGUGUUGUAAACAAAAAUUGCCCUUUUCCCUUAUGGGGUAUCCAAGAGCCCAUAUAGAGUCCUUACAUAGGUUCCCUAUUGGUAGGAGAGAAUAACAGAGGCCAACCAGAGAAUAUUGAGAAGCAAAGCAGCUAGUAAGCUUGAGCUUUAUUGAUCUGUUGCAACAGGGUGCUCCUCUCACCCGCAGGAGAGAGAGGAACCCAGAAAAAUGGCGCGCAAGGCCUUAUAAAGACUUUUGAAAUUGCCACCCUGUAGAUCAAGACCACCCCCAGAAACAUCAUACCUACAUCACAGAAAAGGCACUCUAAACAGAAAUUUGAAUGUUGUUUUUCUCCUGUAGUUGUUUAUCUCCUGCCUGGCAGGUUGCUUAAUUGGAUUGCCUGGGUAACCAGGCCAGUCUUUUGUAAUGAUAAAUACUUUGUUCCUGGGCCAGGUCACAGGCUCACACCCUAUUCAUAUCUUAAAUGUGCCCUUAAGACAGGAUUUGUGAGUAAAGAGACAAUGGGGAGGUUUCCCACUUUGACCUUGCAGAGAAAACAUUUGCUCAGUUUAGGAAUCAAAAUGGUUCCAGGUCGGUCUUCCUGUGCUGAUCUAUGGACGUGCUUGGUUGGUACGCUUAUGAACAUUACCAUAUAUCUUAAAACCAUAAAAUUCCUAUCACACUAAAAAGGCAGGGACAAAAGGAUUCCCUAGCUUCUGUUCUUUCAACCCUCCUGGUGCUGUGGGUUUGUGCCCAAAUUCCAAUUUUAAGAAGGAAUAUUCCUGACAUUAAUUCUGCAGCUCACUUCCUUCUGUUGUUCAGCAUCGUCCCAUCCCGCCUCCUCCCAUCAGUGAUUGCACAUUACGGCAGCGUUCCCCAACCUGGUGCCCUCUGGAUGUUUCAGAACUCCGACCCGUGCU